This 1755-nucleotide long non-coding RNA is filed under the name Macaca mulatta (Rhesus monkey). Its description in RNAcentral is "lncRNA (ENSMMUG00000052310.1)". The record is from RNAcentral. Lineage: Eukaryota; Metazoa; Chordata; Mammalia; Primates; Cercopithecidae.
AUGCUCACCUUUAAUGCCUGGUUCUUGGGCUUGUUUUCCUUGGCAAGGCCCCCACAGGAGUGGAAUUUCGGCCGAAGGGAGCCCAAUUGUCAUCUUCUAAGCAUGUUCCCAGGCCGGGGGCCGGGGAGGGCUCUGACUGAUGCUCCAUUUCCGUCCCCAGAAGUGCUGGAACGUUCCUGGGAUCUAGGGAGCAGCCUCCAGUCCUGGAAGCUGUCCCAGAUUUCUGGAAUGUUGGAAUUCAAACGGCCUCCUGCCCAUUUUCCGGAGGAGGAACAUGAGACCCAGAGAGGGGAAGGAGUUGGCCUGAGGUCAUACGAUGUGCAGAGGCGAGCUAGAGUUUGCCGGGAGAAGGUGCGGGUGUGUGGACAAGUCAGCAUCUAUCUCCCAUUUUCAGAGCCCUAGAGUGUGAUGGGAUCGCUGGCUCUCCGCCUGAGCCCUGUCGGGAGUUCCAGGUGUCCACUUGCCCCCAAGGCUGAGCACUGCACAGGAAAGACGGCCAGGAAAAGCAAAAUCUUGGGCAGGUGCUGCUGACCCAUUGGGUAGGAGGUCUAAGAAUCCAGAUCUGCAGGAUGGGGGACGAGGCGGUGGGGGACUUUUCUCUGGAGUGGGACCCUCCCUUGGAAGCCGGACUGGAUGGGUAACAUCGCUCUGCUGGGCUGUCACUAACCAAUCAAAACCAGUGGCCACUUGCCAAUCUUCUAUCUUUGUCCAGGGCAGAAUUGAAUCUUGUUCAAAUAAACUCAAAGGCCAGGUAGAUCACUGAAGCAAAGACUGGAGAAUUUGGCACUCUGUAGCCUGCCAGCCCUACCCAAACAUCCUCAAGGGAUCUGCAUGACCAGCUCAUUGCCCUGCCUACUCCGAACAGAGAAUGUGGGAAGAGGCCCCGGACCUCUGUGCAGCGGUGGAGGCCCGCUUGGCUGCUCCUGACCUGCGCCUCUGGCCUCUUCAGCCUUUCCUCCAAAUUCCACUCUGUGCACAAGCUGCUGGUCACCUCCCUGCACACGCUGUGUGGCUUCCGGCCUCGGGGCCUCUGCACAUGCAGUCUCCUCCACUGAGUUCUCCCGGAAACAGGCCCUCAGACACGAAUUCAAGUGCAAGGAAUAUAUUUUGGGUGGUGAUCUCAGGAAGCACCCAUAGCAGGUUAGGUCAUCAAAAUAGGGAAGAAAGACCAUAAAAUAAAUGGUAUGAAACCAGUCACCACUGUGGGCAACUAGACUUCAGACCCAUCAGGGAACUCUGGGAGACAGUGAAGAGCAUGCGUUUCAGUCAUUCCAACCCAGUCGCAAGGGGAGGGAUCACGUACCUUCCAACAUCCCCCAGUCGUGAGCUGCGGGCUGAUUCCAGGGGCUAGUUCCAACUCUCUGGAACUUCUGACUGAGCGUGCACCCACAGCCAAAUGAAAGCGCUUAAGCAGACAUCUGCAGUGAGCAAGAGUGGGCAUCUGUCUGGGGCACACGGGCCGGGUAGCAACAGCGUCUGCUACAAAUGUUUCUUGCUUCCUGAUCUUUUACAAGCAGACUCCUAUUCACUCUUCAAAGCCCAGCUCAGAUGUGACCCCCUCGGGGAAGCCUUCCCUGACCCUCCUAAAUCAGUCAAUCACUUCAUGAGCUUCUAAUAUCUGCAUGAAUCACAGUGGAUUCUUAUUGCUUGUCCCACAGGGGAGUGAACAACGUAAGGUCAAGGGUUUUACAUCUUGGGCGUUAAGAACACGCAUGUCACGCAGUCUUGAGUUCUGCUCUCCUGGCCCCUCUGAAC